This 301-nucleotide ribosomal RNA is filed under the name uncultured bacterium. RNAcentral's name for it is "partial 16S ribosomal RNA". It matches the Rfam family "Bacterial small subunit ribosomal RNA", at positions 509 to 807 of the family's 1533-position model. The record is from RNAcentral.
CAGCAGCCGCGGGAAAACGUAGGUGGCAAGCGUUGUCCGGAAUUAUUGGGCGUAAAGGGCUCGCAGGCGGUUUCUUAAGUCUGAUGUGAAAGCCCCCGGCUCAACCGGGGAGGGUCAUUGGAAACCGGGAAACUUGAGUGCAGAAGAGGAGAGUGGAAUUCCACGUGUAGCGGUGAAAUGCGUAGAGAUGUGGAGGAACACCAGUGGCGAAGGCGACUCUCUGGUCUGUAACUGACGCUGAGGAGCGAAAGCGUGGGGAGCGAACAGGAUUAGAUACCCCAGUAGUCCCUGUCUCUUAUAC